Molecule: long non-coding RNA, 1481 nt
Filed under: Heterocephalus glaber (naked mole-rat)
Lineage: Eukaryota; Metazoa; Chordata; Mammalia; Rodentia; Bathyergidae
Description: lncRNA (ENSHGLG00100040004.1)
Source: RNAcentral
AACGCAUGAAUCCGGCAAGGAGGCUCCUCUGGGUGGGCUGUGUGGACGCAGGCAGCUGCCAUCCAGUCCCCGUGGCACGAUGUCCCCGCCUCCUGCAGGGCCGGGCCCGCCCUAACAUCAGCCGCUCCUUCCGGGAGCUCGGGCUCCUGCCGGUGAGAAACACUGCGGAAAACAGGGUCGGCGGCCUUUCUGCAGGCACCAGGCACGCUGUCACAUGAGCCCAGACGGCACUGACUGCAGCUUCUGGGUGGCUUCUCCCAGCCCCACACAGGCAGAAGCACACAUGGGGUGAGCCUGCCCCUCCCAUCCAGCCCAGACUGCUGUGUGGCAAAGCGGGUCCCUGGACUACCUGGACCACUUACAUCUCCUCUUCAUUUCUGCGGUGGCUCUGAACCUCGUGUGGGAUAUGACUGGUCCCAGAUUUCCCUCUCCUGUGCUCACCCCUUUGAUUUAAUUUACUGUAAAGCACUGAGCAGCUUCUGCGCUGGGUGUGGGCAGGGAGCAUCCCCUCGCCCCCCUCACCGGCCUCCCUGGGGGGCCCUGGUGGCUUUCGGGGUGGCUUCCUGCAGGCCUACUUUGGAAGGUGGCCAGGCCUGUGCACACCUGGUCCCCUGCCUCACCAACAGACGACACCCGCAUGUGCACACGUGCCCUCAGUCUCCUCCUGGGACACAUCCCUGACAUCAUGGAGAAAACAAGCACAGGAUGGGACCCAGGCCCCCAGCAGGGCCCCAAGGUGGCCUGAGACCCAGGAAGAGGGGCCCAGCGCCCCCACUCGAGAGAGUCGCAGACAGAGCCCCCACGCUGCAUGCCAGCCAUCGGGAACCUGCCUGGCGGGACAAGGCCGCUCUCGCUGUGGGGUUUUCCUUUCCCUACUUUCGAAUGUUCUUUGUGUGUUAGGGACCUUCCCCUUCCACCUGAGUCACGGUUCCAAAUGUUUUCUCCCAGGUCAUUUGCCUUGCAGGCCUGCUUGUCUCUGUUCUUGUGAGGCUGUUUUUCAGGCGACUCCAUUUGUGUGUUCCUGUUUGCUUGUGCAGAUCUCUGGUGCCCCUGGAGUUUAUUCUUAUCCACGGCAUGUGGAAGGGGCCUCAGUUUACCUUUUUCCAGUCCUCUCUGGGCCUGGCCCGACAUGGAUGUAGGUGAGGGUCGGUGUGGCCCUGGGGACCGGGACGGCUCCUUGAUGCCACCCUAGUUCCCGGCAGCAGGUCUGAGCCCUGGUGCCCCCCUGUCCCAGGCCGUGUCUCCCUCUGUCACAGGCGCUGUCCUCCUCACACAGCCCUGCCAAGCGCUUCCUCCGAAGCCCUCCCUUAGCGAUCCUGUUUGUUUUUCCACAGGAUCUUUAGUGUCUAGCCCCGCUCUCUGUGGGAGCAAAGCUCAUUGUGAUUUUACUGCGUCCUCAGUAGAGUCUUUCCUUGGGGCUGCGUUGUGACGCCUUCACACAGGCUGGGAGCACCAAGACCCAAGCCACUGCUGCAGCUGGG